Molecule: ribosomal RNA, 1297 nt
Filed under: metagenome
Description: bacterial LSU rRNA
Rfam family: Bacterial large subunit ribosomal RNA
Source: RNAcentral
ACGACCGUACCGCAAACCGACACUGGUGCGCGAGAUGAGUAUUCUAAGGCGCUUGAGAGAACUCAGGAGAAGGAACUCGGCAAAUUGACACCGUAACUUCGGAAGAAGGUGUGCCUUUAGUAGGUGAAGGGAUUUACUCCUGGAGCCCAAUGAGGUUGCAAAAAAUCGGUGGCUGCGACUGUUUAUUAAAAACACAGCACUCUGCAAACACGAAAGUGGACGUAUAGGGUGUGACGCCUGCCCGGUGCUGGAAGAUUAAAUGAUGGGGUGCAAGCUCUUGAUUGAAGUCCCAGUAAACGGCGGCCGUAACGAUAACGGUCCUAAGGUAGCGAAAUUCCUUGUCGGGUAAGUUCCGACCUGCACGAAUGGCGUAACGAUGGCCACACUGUCUCCUCCUGAGACUCAGCGAAGUUGAAAUGUUUGUGAUGAUGCAAUCUCCCCGCGGAAAGACGGAAAGACCCCAUGAACCUUUACUGUAGCUUUGUAUUGGACUUUGAACAGAUCUGUGUAGGAUAGGUGGGAGGCUUUGAAGCAGGGUCGCUAGAUCUUGUGGAGCCAACGUUGAAAUACCACCCUGGUGUGUUUGAGGUUCUAACCUAGGCCCGUAAUCCGAGUUGGGGACAGUGCAUGGUAGGCAGUUUGACUGGGGCGGUCUCCUCCCAAAGUGUAACGGAGGAGUUCGAAGGUACGCUAGUUACGGUCGGACAUCGUGACGAUAGUGCAAUGGCAUAAGCGUGCUUAACUGCGAGACUGACAAGUCGAGCAGAUGCGAAAGCAGGACAUAGUGAUCCGGUGGUUCUGUAUGGAAGGGCCAUCGCUCAACGGAUAAAAGGUACUCUGGGGAUAACAGGCUGAUACCGCCCAAGAGUUCAUAUCGACGGCGGUGUUUGGCACCUCGAUGUCGGCUCAUCUCAUCCUGGGGCUGUAGCCGGUCCCAAGGGUAUGGCUGUUCGCCAUUUAAAGAGGUACGUGAGCUGGGUUUAAAACGUCGUGAGACAGUUUGGUCCCUAUCUUCCGUGGGCGCUGCAGAUUUGAGGAAGCCUGCUCCUAGUACGAGAGGACCGGAGUGGACGCACCUCUGGUGUAUCGGUUGUCACGCCAGUGGCAUUGCCGAGUAGCUAUGUGCGGAAGAGAUAACCGCUGAAAGCAUCUAAGCGGGAAACUCGUUUCAAGAUGAGAUCUGCCGGGGCCUUGAGCCCCCUGAAGAGUCGUUCAAGACCAGGACGUUGAUAGGUCGGGUGUGGAAGCGCAGUAAUGCGUUAAGCUAACCGAUACUAAUUGCUCGUGCGGCUUGACC